GACGAACGCUGGCGGCGUGCUUAACACAUGCAAGUCGAACGAAGAGCGAUGGAAGCUUGCUUCUAUCAAUCUUAGUGGCGAACGGGUGAGUAACGCGUAAUCAACCUGCCCUUCAGAGGGGGACAACAGUUGGAAACGACAGCUAAUACCGCAUACGAUCUAAUCUCGGCAUCGAUGAUAGAUGAAAGGUGGCCGCUACAUGUAAGCUAUCACUGAAGGAGGGUAUUGCGUCUGAUUAGCUAGUUGGAGGGGUAACGGCCCACCAAGGCGAUGAUCAGUAGCCGGUCGGAGAGGAUGAACGGCCACAUUGGGACUGAGACACGGCCCAGACUCCUACGGGAGGCAGCAGUGGGGAAUCUUCCGCAAUGGACGAAAGUCUGACGGAGCAACGCCGCGUGAGUGAUGACGGCCUUCGGGUUGUAAAGCUCUGUUAAUCGGGACGAAAGGCCUUCUUGCGAAUAGUGAGAAGGAUUGACGGUACCGGAAUAGAAAGCCACGGCUAACUACGUG
This 510-nucleotide ribosomal RNA is filed under the name uncultured bacterium. Its description in RNAcentral is "partial 16S ribosomal RNA". It matches the Rfam family "Bacterial small subunit ribosomal RNA", at positions 28 to 507 of the family's 1533-position model. The record is from RNAcentral.